This 483-nucleotide ribosomal RNA is filed under the name uncultured bacterium. RNAcentral's name for it is "partial 16S ribosomal RNA". It matches the Rfam family "Bacterial small subunit ribosomal RNA", at positions 28 to 507 of the family's 1533-position model. The record is from RNAcentral.
AUUGAACGCUGGCGGCAUGCUUUACACAUGCAAGUCGAACGGCAGCGCGGGCUUCGGCCUGGCGGCGAGUGGCGAACGGGUGAGUAAUGCAUCGGAACGUGCCCAGUAGUGGGGGAUAGCCCGGCGAAAGCCGGAUUAAUACCGCAUACGACCUGAGGGUGAAAGCGGGGGACCGAAAGGCCUCGCGCUAUUGGAGCGGCCGAUGUCGGAUUAGCUAGUUGGUGGGGUAAAGGCUUACCAAGGCGACGAUCCGUAGCUGGUCUGAGAGGACGACCAGCCACACGGGGACUGAGACACGGCCCAGACUCCUACGGGAGGCAGCAGUGGGGAAUUUUGGACAAGGGGGGCAACCCUGAUCCAGCCAUGCCGCGUGCGGAAGAAGGCCUUCGGGUUGUAAACCGCUUUUGUUCGGGAAGAAAUCCUCUGGGCUAAUACCCCGGGGGGAUGACGGUACCGGAAGAAUAAGCACCGGCUAACUACGUG